CUUUUAAGGUGGUUGGUCCACCUAUAACUUGGGGAGCAACUGUAACUGAUGAGACAACUACUCCAAAGUUAAUAAUUAGUUCUUUAUUAUUAUUUCUUGCUAUUUAUGAUUUCUGUUGUUGUGGUGUCGAGGUAGUAGGAGAGGUAGUUGUGUUAUUCGAGGUAGGAUUAGUGGAGGGAGGGGUUUUCCUUUAUACCCUUCGGUCUCCAUCGCAGAGCUGUUGUGAUGG
This 229-nucleotide long non-coding RNA is filed under the name Setaria viridis. RNAcentral describes it as "long non-coding RNA (SVIR_LNC004231)". Lineage: Eukaryota; Viridiplantae; Streptophyta; Magnoliopsida; Poales; Poaceae. The record is from RNAcentral.